AUUGAACGCUGGCGGCAGGCCUAACACAUGCAAGUCGAGCGAGCGGCGGACGGGUGAGUAAUGUCUGGGCAACUGCCUGAUGGCGGGGGAUAACUACUGGAAACGGUAGCUAAUACCGCAUACCAUCAGAUGUGCCCAGAUGGGAUUAGCUAGUAGGUGGGGUAAUGGCGCACCUAGGCUACGAUCCCUAUCUGGUCUGAGAGGAGGACCAGCCACACUGGAACUGCGACACGGUCCAGACUCCUACGGGAGGCAGCAGUGGGGAAUAUUGCACAAUGGGCGAAAGCCUGAUGCAGCCAUGCCGCGUGUAUGAAGAAGGCCUUCGGGGUGUAAAGUACUGUCAGCGGGGGGGCGUUACCCGCAGAAGAAGCACCGGCUAACUCCGUGCCAGCAGCCGCGGUAAUAC
This 406-nucleotide ribosomal RNA is filed under the name uncultured bacterium. RNAcentral describes it as "partial 16S ribosomal RNA". It matches the Rfam family "Bacterial small subunit ribosomal RNA", at positions 30 to 526 of the family's 1533-position model. The record is from RNAcentral.